CACGACAAACGGACUCCGUACUCUGUACCGAUCAUUCGACCAGGUAAUCGCGCCAAAAUUAUCAUCAAUCAAUCCGCCAUCCGAUCUGAAGCUCACCUGCGGAUGGGCUCCAGUUAGGGUGUUGAGAUUUGAUCAUGGCGGCGAGGCCAGAAACAUGUGGACAGGCCAUAGAAGUUCCUGAAAGUAUAUAGAAAUGAGGGGGUUUCUUGCCAGUGAGUUUUACUACAGAAUCUUUGUCUGGCCAUGCUGCGAGAAUGGCCACCCCUGGUGCUGCAACAUCAGGCUGCAAUGUAAUCCAAUCACGCGAAAGUCAAUAAACUAACUUUUGUAUAUUAUAGUCCCUAAACUUGUCUAAAUGCGCUCGCAAAAUUGUUAAA
This is a long non-coding RNA of Helianthus annuus (common sunflower), 377 nucleotides long. RefSeq lists it as uncharacterized. The record is from RefSeq and is a predicted model, not a curated record. The transcript is spliced from 2 exons. NCBI's taxonomy places the organism in Eukaryota, Viridiplantae, Streptophyta, Magnoliopsida, Asterales, Asteraceae.